RNAcentral lists this ribosomal RNA (468 nucleotides) under uncultured bacterium. RNAcentral describes it as "partial 16S ribosomal RNA". It matches the Rfam family "Bacterial small subunit ribosomal RNA", at positions 28 to 507 of the family's 1533-position model. The record is from RNAcentral.
GACGAACGCUGGCGGCGUGCUUAACACAUGCAAGUCGAACGGAAAGGCCCUGCUUUUGUGGGGUGCUCGAGUGGCGAACGGGUGAGUAACACGUGAGUAACCUGCCCUUGACUUUGGGAUAACUUCAGGAAACUGGGGCUAAUACCGGAUAGGAGCUCCUGUUGCAUGGUGGGGGUUGGAAAGUUUCGGCGGUUGGGGAUGGACUCGCGGCUUAUCAGCUUGUUGGUGGGGUAGUGGCUUACCAAGGCUUUGACGGGUAGCCGGCCUGAGAGGGUGACCGGCAACACUGGGACAGAGAGAAGGCCCAGAAUCCUACGGGAGGCAGCAGUGGGGAAUAUUGAACAAUGGGCGGAAGCCUGAUGCAGCAACGACGCGUGCGGGAUGAAGGACUUCGGGUUGUAAACCGCUUUCGCCUGUGACGAAGAGUGAGUGACGGUAAUGGGUAAAGAAGCACAGGAUAACUACGUG